RNAcentral lists this ribosomal RNA (301 nucleotides) under uncultured bacterium. RNAcentral describes it as "partial 16S ribosomal RNA". It matches the Rfam family "Bacterial small subunit ribosomal RNA", at positions 509 to 807 of the family's 1533-position model. The record is from RNAcentral.
CAGCCGCCACGGGAAAACGGAGGGUGCAAGCGUUAUCCGGAUUUAUUUGGUUUAAAGGGUCCGUAGGCGGAUCUGUAAGUCAGUGGUGAAAUCUCACAGCUUAACUGUGAAACUGCCAUUGAUACUGCAGGUCUUGAGUAAAUUUGAAGUGGCUGGAAUAAGUAGUGUAGCGGUGAAAUGCAUAGAUAUUACUUAGAACACCAAUUGCGAAGGCAGGUCACUAAGAUUUAACUGACGCUGAUGGACGAAAGCGUGGGGAGCGAACAGGAUUAGAUACCCCGGUAGUCCCUGUCUCUUAUAC